This is a long non-coding RNA of Phyllostomus discolor (pale spear-nosed bat), 336 nucleotides long. RefSeq lists it as uncharacterized. The transcript is spliced from 2 exons. The record is from RefSeq and is a predicted model, not a curated record. Lineage: Eukaryota; Metazoa; Chordata; Mammalia; Chiroptera; Phyllostomidae.
UGGUUUGUUUCUGAUCAGAAACCCUCUGUAUUGUAAGACCUAGGAAAGGUCACCUGAAGACCUAAUUAAGGUCACCUGUAACGGGUUGGGAAGAAUGCCUUUGCCACUCAGGACCCAGGAAGGGUCACUCAGGGCUGAUGAGUGCUUCAGUCUGAGGCAAAGGAGCAGGUAUCUGCCAUGAGACUGGAUCUGAAGAGUGUAUCUCUGCGAGGCACCAAUGGACACACUGAUGCAAGAGAAUGCCUCUCUGGAACUCGGUGUUUUGGGUUUUGCUCUGUAUCUGCUCUGAAAAACAAAUUGGGGAUUCCAGAAAAGGUUGAAACUUCAUACUCUGUA